Non-coding RNA from Paramuricea clavata, 187 nucleotides. Lineage: Eukaryota; Metazoa; Cnidaria; Anthozoa; Malacalcyonacea; Plexauridae. The record is from the annotation of a GenBank genome assembly.
ACCACUCCAACAAACGUCUACGACCGCACCUACAUAUUUUUGCAUGUUCACAAUUCUAAUUUUAAACAGCCAAUCGACGUUUAAUUAAUAAAUAAUAAUAAACCAAGAACCUGAUUGGCUGUUCAAAAUUAGAAUUGUAAACAUGCAAAACUAUGUAGGUGCGGUCGUAGACGUUUGUGGCAGUGGC